This is a long non-coding RNA of Gallus gallus (chicken), 2651 nucleotides long. The record is from Ensembl. Lineage: Eukaryota; Metazoa; Chordata; Aves; Galliformes; Phasianidae.
UGCUGAGGUUGGCAGAGUCCUCUGAGUUCCUCUAACUUAAUCCCUGCCCAAGCAGGGACACCCAGAGCAGGGUGCCCAGGACAAAGUUCAGGCAGUUUUUGAAGUUCUUCAAGAAGGAGAUUCCACAGCCUCUCUGGGGCCGGAUGUGGAGAAGGAAUCUUACAGUUCAUAAACAAGAUCAUAAAAGAACAACUUGCUUUGUUACCACUUCUACUGAGGCUGUGAAACACGAGUUACUGAAAAUACUACACUGCAGCUUGUGUCCAUGAGGCUCAGGAGAAUGAGAUGCUGUGCUGCAAACAACUCAGAAGCAGGAAAGGAGAAGAAGGAGGGGAGAAAAUGAGCUGCCUCAGUAAUAUACCUCCUCUGACAAAGCUGAAAGUGCCUGGCUAUUUCUCAGCAAAUGAAAAAAAGUCUAAAGGAAUGAGGACUUGUGUGGCCUCCCCCAACCAAAAAAAUAAAAAAAGAGGAAAUGAGACUGUAAACUAUUCCUGAGGUGGAAGAAACACCAACAUGAAUUCUUGACAGAAAAAAAAAGUCCUUGUGCUGCUCCUCUGCCCCAUUUUGCAACUGUGCUAUCCUGGCAAAGACUUUUGGAUUAAAUCUACAGAUUACACUGGACCUGACUUCACUCAGAGACUGAAAUACGUGCCGCUCUCUUGAUGAGCAGAUACAUUACAUUCAAUCUAUCUAGCAGUUUUUGUCCUGCACAAGCCAAAUCUCCUUUCAACAUCAAUAUUAUUUAUUAGCUCAUGAGCUUUCCUCUGCAAGUCAUCACCAGGAGAUCUGAGAGCCUCUACAGACACUAGCAAGCCUAUUCUCAUACUGGGUGAGAGAGUGCUGGGGAAGUCAUAAGGAACCUGAAAUUUCAUGGAUGCCCAGUAACAGAUGUCUAGAACCUGUAUUCAAAGUCAUAAGAAUGGCUGAAUCAAAUGACCAUGAGACAGCUGUGUCCAAAUUUCUAUGUGGUAUUUAUAUAGUGAAUACAAAUGAGAAAUCUGAUUUGAAGGUGUGGAGAGCUCUGCUCCACUUAUGCAUGAAAGUCUCUUAUGAAAGUGUAUGCAAAAUUCAGAUGUGUGCCACUGGUUUUGGAGCUACAGAACAUGCAAUUUCCACCCCCGUGAUAAAUAUUCAUACCACUUAAUUGCACACAGAUAAUGACAUCUCCAAGUAUUGCUGCAGCAUCAUGUCUGCUUUCCUUUCUUAGUUGUUUCCUCAGAGGAUCAGUUCUGCUCUGCUUAGGACCAAAACCUGAGAGCAUUCCCACGGGGUUGUGCUGACAACACAGACAGUGGGGUAGUCACAAGUCUCUGGAAUAAGCUUUUCAUUAAGGUUCUUUAUCCUACAAAACAACCAAAAAGCAGUUGAGGUAGUACAGAGUUCACAGAGGCUAGUUUAUCAGGCUCCUAAGCAGACUAGCCAUGCAUCUAUAGCCUGUUUGUAUGACUCUCUCCACAAGUGCAGACAUAGCUUGCAAGGUCACAGAGAAUUCAGAAGUACAGGAACAGCAAAAGAGUAUGAAAAUUACAAAUAUAUUGUCAUGCUUAACAGGUUACAGUUGCUUUCAAACAGAAGGUAUCUCAAAGUUACCCACACCUUUUGCAAAUAAGCUCUUAAGGUGAAGUUUCAUUCAUUUCCAGUGAGGCUAGGGAGAGUAGACCAGUGUAACACUAGUGUGUGCAGGAGGGUCUUUCUAGGGCCUCACAGAUUUUAUCUAUAUUGGCAAGUAAUUCUGUGCAAUAGGAAGAGAUCAAUAAAUCAAAGCUUCCCCUUGUUCCUAGUUUAAUACAUUGCAAACCAAAUCCAAGUACAAGAAAGGAGCAACCAGGAGAUCUGUGCAGCAAUACAUUGCUGUUCCAAGCCAAGCUGUUGAUAUCAGCAUGGCCACACUUACUCUUACAGAGGACCUUAGAAAAUUAGAUCUUCAAAGUUUUACCUUAAAGGAGAUGAUAUGGAAAAGUCAUUCUUACCACUGACAAACCUAAACAUAAAACUCUGCUUUUCCACACAUCUUUCCCUUGCAGGUUUCAGUUCUGUCAGAGCACACAGCAUGUCAGACAAUUUUUGUUGUUGUUGUUGUUAAUCAUAUAAUACAGUCAGCUUUGUGGCAGGUAAAUGAAAUUUAGGCAUCUUUCUAUCUCCCUGUCAGUAUUUGGCCAUAAGAUUCUGCAUUAAAUUGUUCUUUGCUCCAAAGCUCGCCCAGAGCAACAGCACUCCAAGACUUCACUCAGCUCUUUGUUUUACAGCAGUUACAAUCAAACUGUUGUUCUUCGUGCUUUAAUGGAGAUCCUAGAAAAGGAGAUUUGAAAAAGAGGGUUAAGAACAGGUUUAUAAAACUUAAGUAUGUACCUAAUCUGUCUGGGAAAAUUCAUAAUUCACUUUGCACAUUUUUGAAGCUGUCUCCAGCCUUAAUAUCACAACAUCAUGCAAAGUCUGGAAGUAUGUGAUUAAUAGAUUUACCUAAUUAAAAACAAGCAAACAAAACAACAAACAAAAGUAAGUUUAUGUCUAAAACUGUCUGUUGGUGUGCCAAAUAUAUGCACAAAUAUAUACUGUAUUUUGUGUGUAUUUGUACAUUUAUAUGAAAACACACAUACAUAUAUAGAACUAUGUGUACAAUAAUUAAUAAAGCAAUGUUUCUUAUCAAUAAA